RNAcentral lists this long non-coding RNA (3460 nucleotides) under Xyrichtys novacula (pearly razorfish). Lineage: Eukaryota; Metazoa; Chordata; Actinopteri; Labriformes; Labridae. The record is from RNAcentral.
GUGUGUGUCAAUUUUUGUGUCAUUUUGACAAAGCGUACAGGCGUGACAGUCAAUAGUGUGAAUUUUCACCUUAGGGGGCGCUAUGGAGCCAUUUUGCAUUUUCUUGUUUGGGCGACUUCGGAAUAUCAAAUUUUUCACCAGGCCCGGUCGUCCUGCCAAAUUUCAUGAGUUUUCGCCAGUGGGAAGUGGGCCAUUUUCCAGUUCAAAGGGGAGGAAAAAUAACUAGGACCCCGUUGGGGCACUGGCGGGCCCGAGCCGUGUCGCGCCCCCCCCCAACGUGCUGCCUCCCCGUCCCAUUUGUGUCCUCUGGCCAUCGCCCUCUCUGGUAACGCCCAUCACUGCAAAGACCCUUUUCCUUCAUCGGCGUUUGCUGUUCUUCCUGCCAGUGCGUGUUGCUUUCACUUACACUUGCCACAGCCAGCCUCGUGAGUGCCUAGCCUAUUGGAUAUCACUGUCACCUACACAGGACAGUCAUUACCUUUCUAUUAAUACUUUGUGUUUUAAUUUCACAUUAAUUUCCAUAUUGUAUAAACGACUGGAAAAAACUUGAGCCCCUGCCCCUGUAUAAUCAUGUGCAUGUCUCUGUUCUAGCUCCAAGGUGAAUCUUCACUGCUCAUGUUCUCCUCAGAAGCACUCACCUCACUCCCCUCAGGUUACUGUACACAUGCACCAACUGCCUGCUUCAGGUUUGGAUGGAGCUUCAUGGUUGUCUUUUGGAGAAAUGACCAGUCAAGUUGUGUUUGAAAUUUGAUUUUUUUCAGGGGCAAAAGGAGCCUCUGCAUUCUUGUCAAAUAUGUAAAUAGCAUGUUUUUGCAGGUGCUAAAAACCAGACUCUGAGUGUGUGUGUGUGUGUGUGCGUGUGUGUGUCUGUGUGUGCGUUCAAGUCACAUGACAUAUUUAACCGGAUGUAGCUGCAGCCUCGUUGACUCUCCGUUUCAACUUAUCUCAAAAGUGAGGACCUCAACCUAUAUACCAGUUUUUAAAUUGUGUUGAUAGGCCAAAUAAAACCAGAGUUAUGAUAAAUUAUGUCCGCGAUACUUUUUUUCUGCUUAUUUUGAUCACGUUCGGCGCUCGAUCGCGCUGUAUGAGACAGGAAAACAUAGCAUGCAGACAUUAGCGACAGCUCUUACAGGCGGAAAAGGCUUGCCAAAAGAAAAAAAAAACACACCACAACAUCUCUCCUAUUGGUGGAAAACUUCACCACAACAACCAAUCCAAAAUUAUAUGGUGACUGAUUGACAAGGGGCGGGCGCUUACGUUCUUCCUGCAACAUGAGAAGGGAGGGAGGGACUCUCAGCAGGGAUGCAGUCUGGGACACGUAGUUGCAAACCUAGCGACUUUGUUGUUAGAUUCAAUGACUUUUCAGACCCCCUAACGACUUUUUUUUAGAAAGAAAGGGACUUUUAUCGACUUCUUCUGGAGUUUAGAGACUCUGACAUGAAGCAGGCUUUCCUUACUGAGGAGUUAGCAACGCUGCUAAGGGUGCAGAGCCACACAUGCGCUCAGAGCUCUGCAUGGGAGACUGAAGCUGACAGAGCUGCAGCAGUUAGCAGGUUUCACCCUCAGAGACCACCAGGGGUUCAUGUUGAGGCAUUUUAAUUUUUUUUUUUUUGUGCCAUAGACACUGUCAGCACAAUCUGCAGUUACACUAACAAAAAUGCUGCAAAAAACAAAGAAUUAUGGAAAAAUUACACAUGGACUGACAUACAGGAGGAUCUACACAAGUUUUUUACAUCAUGUUUUACAUCAUGCAUCAUUUACAUCAUGUUUUUUUGUAGUGGCAUAAAUAAAAAGUGACAUUUGUGAGACUAUACAGUGUUUUGUAAAUAAUUUUACAAAGAACGCCUGGGCCAUUGCCUGCAUUUUGAUGUAAAUAGAGGUAAAUCACUAUGUUCUUUGUUAAAAAUUUGCAUAUGUUUUGAAGUUUACAAUUUUUAUUUGAAGUUUAAGUUUUAAAAACAGUUCAUCACACAUAUUUGUGGUUUUCACAGUAAAAAUGUUACUUUUUUCCACUCGGAUUUUAUGUUUUGUGUGUGAAUUUGGGUCCAUUGUGUAAAUUCAGUAUGUCAACAUGAUAAAAUAACUGUAAAUUCGCACAGGUGAGGUUGUGCUGAAAAAAAUGAUACCAGGCAAGGCACGUGAUUGUCAAAUUUUGUGUCAAUAUGACAAAGCGUAUAGGCGUGAAUCUCAACAAUAUGUAUUUUCACCUUAGGGGACAAGAAAAAAUGGACUUUUUUCUCCUGCCAUGGGGGGGCGCUCUUUUGGGGAGUAAAAAUUCCUUCACAAAUGUGUUGAUGGCUGGACAUUGCAUCAUCCUAGAAAACUUGGAGGCCAGUGAGGACAAAAAUAAAAAGUUAUAAGACUUUUAAAUAUGUGGAUUUUAGGGUUAUCUUUGGCGCCCCCUAGAACCUAAACCGUGGGGUGCAGCGUCAUGAUUUUGAUAACUUUUAAUGGCCAUGGGCUGUAGAUUGGCCUGAGCAAAUGUGGUGCCGGUGGAACGAAAGCCUUAGGAGGAGUUAGCCACAUUCCAAUGUGUGCGGAUCGGCAAAAAAUGCGGAAUAACCCUUUAACCGUACAUUUGACAGAUACGCGCGCAUUGACUUUUUCGUAGAUCUUAUUGAGAUACAUGUGUGUGUCAAAUUUUGUGUCAUUUUGACAAAGCGUAUAGGCGUGACACUCAACAAUGUGUAUUUUCACCUUAGGGGACAAGAAAAAAUGGACUUUUUUCUCCUGCCAUGGGGGGGCGCUCUUUUGGGGAGUAAAAAUUCCUUCACAAAUGUGUUGAUGGCUGGACAUUGCAUCAUCCUAGAAAACUUGGAGGCCAGUGAGGACAAAAAUAAAAAGUUAUAAGACUUUUAAAUAUGUGGAUUUUAGUGUUAUCUUUGGCGCCCCCUAGAACCUAAACCUUGGGGUGCAGCGUCAUGAUUUUGAUAACUUUUAAUGGCCACGGGGUGUAGAUUGGCCUGAGCAAAUGUGGUGCCGGUGGAACGAAAGCCUUCGGAGGAGUUAGCGAAAUUCCAAUGUGUGCAGAUCGGCAAAAAAUGCGAAAUAACCCUUUAACCGUAAUUUUGACAGAUACGGCCGCACUGACUUUUUUGUAGAUCUUAUUGAGAUACAUGUGUGUGUCAAUUUUUGUGUCAUUUUGACAAAGCGUACAGUCGUGACAGUGAAUUGUGUGAAUUUUCACCUUAGGGGGCGCUAUGGAGCCAUUUUGCAUUUUAUUGUUUUGGCGACUUCAGAAUAUCAAAUUUUUCACCAGGCCCGGUCGUCCUGCCAAAUUUCAUGAGUUUUCGCCAGUGGGAAGUGGGCCAUUUUCCAGUUCAAAGGGGAGGAAAAAGAAAAAAGAAAGAAAGAAACAAAGACUAGGGCCCCGGUGGGGCACUGUCGGGCCCGAGCCGCGUUGUGCCGCCCCCAGCGCGACCGCCUCCCCCUCCCGAUCGCGUCACACUCAAGGUCCAAA